RNAcentral lists this transfer RNA (64 nucleotides) under Perkinsus olseni. Its description in RNAcentral is "tRNA-Val". It matches the Rfam family "tRNA", at positions 5 to 66 of the family's 71-position model. Rfam says of the family: Transfer RNA (tRNA) molecules are approximately 80 nucleotides in length. The record is from RNAcentral. Lineage: Eukaryota; Perkinsozoa; Perkinsida; Perkinsidae.
GGAUAGUCUAGCGGUUAUGACGUCUGCCUUACACGCAGAAGGUCGCGGGUUCGAUCCCCGCUCC